RNAcentral lists this ribosomal RNA (374 nucleotides) under uncultured bacterium. Its description in RNAcentral is "bacterial SSU rRNA". It matches the Rfam family "Bacterial small subunit ribosomal RNA", at positions 355 to 743 of the family's 1533-position model. The record is from RNAcentral.
UGGGGAAUAUUGGGCAAUGGGGCGCAAGCCUGACCCAGCAACGCCGCGUGAGGGAAGAAGGUUUUCGGAUUGUAAACCUCUGUCCUAGGUGAAGAGAAGAAGACGGUAGCCUGGGAGGAAGCUCCGGCUAACUACGUGCCAGCAGCCGCGGUAAUACGUAGGGAGCGAGCGUUGUCCGGAAUGAUUGGGCGUAAAGGGCGCGUAGGCGGCCUGUUAAGUCUGGAGUGAAAGUCCUGCUUUUAAGGUGGGAAUUGCUUUGGAUACUGAUGGGCUUGAGUGCAGGAGAGGUUAUCGGAAUUCCCAGUGUAGCGGUGAAAUGCGUAGAUAUUAGGAGGAACACCAGUGGCGAAGGCGGCUUUCUGGACUGACACUGA